Molecule: ribosomal RNA, 332 nt
Filed under: uncultured bacterium
Lineage: Bacteria
Description: bacterial SSU rRNA
Rfam family: Bacterial small subunit ribosomal RNA
Source: RNAcentral
UGCGUAGGUGGUUUAUUAAGUUAUCUGUAAAAUCCCCGGGCUCAACCUGGGCAGGUCAGAUAAGACUGAUAGGCUCGAGUAUAGGAGAGGGUAGUGGAAUUUCCGGUGUAGCGGUGAAAUGCGUAGAGAUCGGAAGGAACACCGGUGGCGAAGGCGGCUACCUGGCCUAAUACUGACACUGAGGCACGAAAGCGUGGGGAGCAAACAGGAUUAGAUACCCUGGUAGUCCACGCUGUAAACGAUGUCAACUAGCUGUUUGUAAUAUAAAAGUUAUGAGUAGCGGAGCAAACGCGAUAAGUUGACCGCCUGGGGAGUACGGUCGCAAGAUUAAA